GACGAACGCUGGCGGCGUGCCUAACACAUGCAAGUCGAACGAAACUUCUUUAAAGGAUUUCUUCGGAAUGAAUUUGAUUAAGUUUAGUGGCGGACGGGUGAGUAACGCGUGAGUAACCUGCCUCUAAGAGGGGAAUAACAUUCUGAAAAGAAUGCUAAUACCGCAUAACAUAUAUUUAUCGCAUGGUAGAUAUAUCAAAGAUUUAUCGCUUAGAGAUGGACUCGCGUCCGAUUAGUUAGUUGGUGAGGUAACGGCUCACCAAGACCGCGAUCGGUAGCCGGACUGAGAGGUUGAACGGCCACAUUGGGACUGAGACACGGCCCAGACUCCUACGGGAGGCAGCAGUGGGGGAUAUUGCGCAAUGGGGGAAACCCUGACGCAGCAACGCCGCGUGAAGGAUGAAGGUCUUCGGAUUGUAAACUUCUUUUAUUAAGGACGAAGAAAGUGACGGUACUUAAUGAAUAAGCUCCGGCUAAC
Molecule: ribosomal RNA, 477 nt
Filed under: uncultured bacterium
Lineage: Bacteria
Description: bacterial SSU rRNA
Rfam family: Bacterial small subunit ribosomal RNA
Source: RNAcentral